Molecule: ribosomal RNA, 253 nt
Filed under: uncultured bacterium
Lineage: Bacteria
Description: partial 16S ribosomal RNA
Rfam family: Bacterial small subunit ribosomal RNA
Source: RNAcentral
UACGGAGGGUGCAAGCGUUGUUCGGAAUUACUGGGCGUAAAGCGCACGUAGGCGGGUCUAUAUGUCGAUUGUGAAAUCCCCGGGCUUAACCUGGGAAUUGCAGUCGAAACGGUAGAUCUUGAAUGCUUGAGAGGAUGGCGGAAUUCCUGGUGUAGUAGUGAAAUACGUAGAUAUCAGGAAGAACACCCGAGGCGAAGGCGGCUAUCUGGUGAUGCAUUGACGCUGAGGUGCGAAAGCGUGGGGAGCAAACAGG